GGCCCAUUAACUCAGCGGUAAGAGUGCUCCCCUGUCUAGGGAGAAGCCGUCGGUUCGAAUCCGACAUGGGUCGCCA
RNAcentral lists this transfer RNA (76 nucleotides) under Pseudomonas phage Arefeen1. RNAcentral describes it as "tRNA-Asp". It matches the Rfam family "tRNA". From Rfam's summary of the family: Transfer RNA (tRNA) molecules are approximately 80 nucleotides in length. Their secondary structure includes four short double-helical elements and three loops (D, anti-codon, and T loops). Further hydrogen bonds mediate the characteristic L-shaped molecular structure. tRNAs have two regions of fundamental functional importance: the anti-codon, which is responsible for specific mRNA codon recognition, and the 3' end, to which the tRNAs corresponding amino acid is attached (by aminoacyl-tRNA synthetases). tRNAs cope with the degeneracy of the genetic code in two manners: having more than one tRNA (with a specific anti-codon) for a particular amino acid; and 'wobble' base-pairing, i.e. permitting non-standard base-pairing at the 3rd anti-codon position. The record is from RNAcentral.